Molecule: ribosomal RNA, 254 nt
Filed under: uncultured bacterium
Lineage: Bacteria
Description: partial 16S ribosomal RNA
Rfam family: Bacterial small subunit ribosomal RNA
Source: RNAcentral
CGUAGGUGGCAAGCGUUGUCCGGAUUUAUUGGGCGUAAAGGGAGCGCAGGUGGUUUCUUAAGUCUGAUGUGAAAGCCCACGGCUUAACCGUGGAGGGUCAUUGGAAACUGGGAAACUUGAGUACAGAAGAGGAAUGUGGAACUCCAUGUGUAGCGGUGGAAUGCGUAGAUAUAUGGAAGAACACCAGUGGCGAAGGCGACAUUCUGGUCUGUUACUGACACUGAGGCUCGAAAGCGUGGGGAGCAAACAGGAUU